CACGUAGGGCGCAAGUGUUGUCCGGAAUUAUUGGGCGUAAAGAGCUCGUAGGUGGUUUGUUACGUCUGCUGUGAAAACCUAGGGCUUAACCCUGGGCUUGCAGUGGAUACGGGCAGACUAGAGGUAGGUAGGGGAGAAUGGAAUUCCUGGUGUAGCGGUGAAAUGCGCAGAUAUCAGGAGGAACACCGGUGGCGAAGGCGGUUCUCUGGGCCUUACCUGACACUGAGGAGCGAAAGCGUGGGGAGCGAACAGG
RNAcentral lists this ribosomal RNA (253 nucleotides) under uncultured bacterium. RNAcentral's name for it is "partial 16S ribosomal RNA". It matches the Rfam family "Bacterial small subunit ribosomal RNA", at positions 524 to 776 of the family's 1533-position model. The record is from RNAcentral.